AAUCUCCCUUCUUCCUGAAACUUCCGCAUUAUAAAUCAUAGAAGACAAGGGAUCCCUCAAGGAGGUUUUGAUGGAAGUAGUCAGCGACCAACACACCUACCUUCUGGAAGCAGGACAAAGAAGGACAGCUGAGAAACUUCUCAUGAUGAUGGUGGAACAUUGGCCAUCUCCAUAAAGAAAAAGAGAACUACGGUAGCUAAGAAAAUGUUCUUUGGGAAAAGAAUAA
Protobothrops mucrosquamatus (brown spotted pit viper) is the source of this 226-nucleotide long non-coding RNA. RefSeq lists it as uncharacterized. Lineage: Eukaryota; Metazoa; Chordata; Lepidosauria; Squamata; Viperidae. The record is from RefSeq and is a predicted model, not a curated record. The transcript has 3 exons.